Gambusia affinis (western mosquitofish) is the source of this 137-nucleotide small nucleolar RNA. Lineage: Eukaryota; Metazoa; Chordata; Actinopteri; Cyprinodontiformes; Poeciliidae. The record is from Ensembl.
UCGGCUCAGAUCAAAAGCAGCAGCUUGCAGUAGCUGUUAGUUUUCUCUAAAAGGAGCCCAAAAUAAAACCUUCCCAUGGUCUGUUGAUUUUCCCCAGAUUUACAGGGACUAAAUCAAUUCAGUUGGAAGGAACAAUC